UCUUUUCUGCAGCCUACGAAAAGCUGUUUUUUAACCUUACAUUUCUAAAGGAAGGGUUGCAUUAUUUUUGUCUUCAUCUCUUUCAAGUGCUUAGUUUGUUGUAUCUGCUGUUGGCUGAGCCUGUGAGCAGAAGAUGAGCUGCUUUCCCAUGCUUCUCUUCUUUCUGGCUUUUUUAGCCUGUGAUUACAGCUAUGUAAGAUGUCAAUUAAACAACAUUGUUAAG
Pundamilia nyererei is the source of this 223-nucleotide long non-coding RNA. RefSeq lists it as uncharacterized. The record is from RefSeq and is a predicted model, not a curated record. The transcript has 3 exons. Lineage: Eukaryota; Metazoa; Chordata; Actinopteri; Cichliformes; Cichlidae.